AUUGAACGCUGGCGGCAGGCCUAACACAUGCAAGUCGAGCGGUAGAGAGGUGCUUGCAUCUCUUGAGAGCGGCGGACGGGUGAGUAAUGCCUAGGAAUCUGCCUAGUGUGGGGGAUAACGUUCGGAAACGGACGCUAAUACCGCAUACGUCCUACGGGAGAAAGCGGGGGAUCUUCGGACCUCGCGCCAUUAGAUGAGCCUAGGUCGGAUUAGCUAGUUGGUGAGGUAAUGGCUCACCAAGGCGACGAUCCGUAACUGGUCUGAGAGGAUGAUCAGUCACACUGGAACUGAGACACGGUCCAGACUCCUACGGGAGGCAGCAGUGGGGAAUAUUGGACAAUGGGCGAAGACCUGAUCCAGCCAUGCCGCGUGUGUG
Molecule: ribosomal RNA, 376 nt
Filed under: uncultured bacterium
Lineage: Bacteria
Description: bacterial SSU rRNA
Rfam family: Bacterial small subunit ribosomal RNA
Source: RNAcentral